RNAcentral lists this ribosomal RNA (427 nucleotides) under uncultured bacterium. Its description in RNAcentral is "partial 16S ribosomal RNA". It matches the Rfam family "Bacterial small subunit ribosomal RNA", at positions 355 to 774 of the family's 1533-position model. The record is from RNAcentral.
UGGGGAAUAUUGCACAAUGGGCGCAAGCCUGAUGCAGCCAUGCCGCGUGUAUGAAGAAGGCCUUCGGGGUGUAAAGUACUUUCAGCGAGGAGGAAGGCGUUGUGGUUAAUAACCGCAGCGAUUGACGUUACUCGCAGAAGAAGCACCGGCUAACUCCGUGCCAGCAGCCGCGGUAAUACGGAGGGUGCAAGCGUUAAUCGGAAUUACUGGGUGUAAAGCGCACGCAGGCGGUCUGUCAAGUCGGAUGUGAAAUCCCCGGGCUCAACCUGGGAACUGCAUCCGAAACUGGCAGGCUAGAGUCUUGUAGAGGGGGGUAGAAUUCCAGGUGUAGCGGUGAAAUGCGUAGAGAUCUGGAGGAAUACCGGUGGCGAAGGCGGCCCCCUGGACAAAGACUGACGCUCAGGUGCGAAAGCGUGGGGAGCAAACA